UAAACUACACGUGGUCCUGAAAAUGGGUAACAAAUAAUGCAUAACAAAUUAAGGUAUUAAAUAAAUUUGGUCAAAAAUUGUAAUUCAAGCUUACUGGUAAUCUGCAGCAAUUGUAGGCGAUGGUCUGAUCAUUCAUCAGCAGAAUUUCUUUACCUUUCAAGUUAACCGAACAUGUUUAUCUCCCAAAUAUAUUAACAAAUUUUUGCUGGAUUUAAGAAAAAUGAGUUUGUGGAGAAAGUUAAGUCCAGUUUGAUAAGGUUCUGCUUUUGUAGUGGCUGAGACUUGAAACUACCUUUUUUUUCAUGUUAAUUCAUUUGUGUGAAGUAGUUAGGAGUUAAUCUUUAGUUUUAGAAGGGCAUAAAAUUAAUGGAUGCUUUAUACAGGGAUUUUUUGUUGUAGAAUACUCAAACUGAAACCUUUUAGGAAGUGGGGAGUUUUGAUUAAUAUAGAGUGCCUGCUGUAAUUACAGACUUGAAGUGUUUAGGAUACUGAAUUGUCUCAGAAGUCCAUUGGAGGUUUUAAUAAGCUUGACUGAAUUUUAUUUUUUUAAUUAUUGUGGGGAUUAGAAAGGC
Molecule: long non-coding RNA, 572 nt
Filed under: Gossypium barbadense (sea-island cotton)
Lineage: Eukaryota; Viridiplantae; Streptophyta; Magnoliopsida; Malvales; Malvaceae
Description: long non-coding RNA (GBAR_LNC013233)
Source: RNAcentral